GGGGAAUAUUGGACAAUGGGGGGAACCCGGAUCAGGCAUUGCCGGGGGGGGGAGGAAGGCUUUAUGUUUUUAAAGCACUUUAACCGGGGGGGGGGCUCUUUUGGUUAAUACCAAAGAGGAUUGACGGUAACUGGCGGAAUAAGCACCGCUAACCUCGGUGCCAGCAGCCGCGGUAAUACAGAGGGUGCGAGCGUUAAUCGGAUUUACUGGGCGUAAAGCGUGCGUAGGCGGCUUUUUAAGUCGGAUGUGAAAUCCCCGAGCUUAACUUGGGAAUUGCAUUCGAUACUGGGAAGCUAGAGUAUGGGAGAGGAUGGUAGAAUUCCAGGUGUAGCGGUGAAAUGCGUAGAGAUCUGGAGGAAUACCGAUGGCGAAGGCAGCCAUCUGGCCUAAUACUGACGCUGAGGUACGAAAGCAUGGGGAGCGAACA
This 427-nucleotide ribosomal RNA is filed under the name uncultured Acinetobacter sp. RNAcentral describes it as "partial 16S ribosomal RNA". It matches the Rfam family "Bacterial small subunit ribosomal RNA", at positions 356 to 774 of the family's 1533-position model. The record is from RNAcentral. Lineage: Bacteria; Pseudomonadati; Pseudomonadota; Gammaproteobacteria; Moraxellales; Moraxellaceae.